AUGCAAUUUUCCGUGUGUGAAAAUAGAGUGCACUCAGUUCCCCUGCUGCCUCUUCAGCAUAAUUUGUACACUGCUGUGCAGAGUAACAGUUGGUCCCUGUGGGAUUCCAGUGCAUACGCAGCAACGCAUCUCCUCUUGUACAGGCUAAAAAUCAAACCGAUGCUGCAUGGCCAAUGAAGUGGUGAGUACCUGGGAAUACUUCUUGUUGUUACUCAAGAGGAGUAGAAAUGUUUUGAUAAGCAAGGCUUUAUGCUUUUUAAGGCACAGAUGUAAAAUGUAAGAUGGUUCGGAACAUACUCAGAGGUGUUAACCAGAAGCUCAGGCAUUAUCAUCUCUUAAGAAAAUUGGUCGGGGAGUGCUACUUGUUUUCUUGUGCUUUUAAAACAAACAUCUUCUACUUAUCAGAUGGUAAAAUCAUGGUGUUGAGAGUGUGACUGUAGCUUUUGACACAUAUUGGUAGAGAUGGUAAACAUUUUCUUGGUAGCACAAAUGACCAAACCCCAUGCACUGAAUUUCCAGCAGCUUUGACAACAUUAAUAUUUUACCUUAUGCUAAUGGUCAUGUGUGAGCAAGCAGUUGGCAGAAAACAUACUUUUUUUUUUUUUCCUUACUAGUGGGGACAAAAAGACAACAUCCUUCCUCGCCUAAGAUAAAUUAAUUUAUUUGAGCUAGUGGAACAAAAUCAUCCAAUUCUUUCUUUUAGCCUAUUAAGAAUGGGACAAAACAUGAACUUGUGAGGUAUCAUAGAUAUGAAGGAGGAACUCAUUUUCUUCCAUCAAAGAAAUCCACAAAUUAUUUUAAAAUAUUUUUAAAGCUGUGGAAAGGUGGUGACAACAUAAAGUGGGGAAAGUCAGUAGCCUCUCUGAUUGAAAUGGUAAAAACUCAGUGGUGAACAGUGACAAAAGCUCAUCAAUAAUCUGAAGUGCUAAUAUUCUGUGGAAACCAGGUUCUCAAUCAAGGCUUGGGAGCCAGUGCUUGUCUUUAAAAUGAAAUGAUUUUUGUAUAUGAGGUAGAAACU
This 1018-nucleotide long non-coding RNA is filed under the name Anser cygnoides (Swan goose). Its description in RNAcentral is "lncRNA (ENSACDG00005005210.1)". Lineage: Eukaryota; Metazoa; Chordata; Aves; Anseriformes; Anatidae. The record is from RNAcentral.